Ictalurus punctatus (channel catfish) is the source of this 520-nucleotide long non-coding RNA. NCBI's taxonomy places the organism in Eukaryota, Metazoa, Chordata, Actinopteri, Siluriformes, Ictaluridae. The record is from Ensembl.
AGUAACGGACCAUACCCCCUUACAGUGGAUGGCCAAGGCCAAAGACACGAACGCCAGGGUAACCUGCUGGUUCCUCGCCUUACAGGACUUCUCAUUCCGGGUCCAACACCGGGCGGGGGACCAACAUGGGAAUGCAGAUGGGCUCUCGCGGAGAGACACGCUCUGGGCCCGCCACCCAGCGGCAGUAGGCUCGGAGCUGGGAUGGGUACUGUCGCAACGGACCGACAGCCGGCGCGCAGGAUAAGAAAGUCGCUCCUUCCUCGUCUGCCGCGCAGGCACGAGGCGGACAGCCUCGCGCCAAACACAUCAGCUGGAAGGACCGUCACGGUGGGGCGGAACCGCUGACACAACACCGGCUGGCGAUUGGGGAGUCAGUCGAGAGAAUUCCACCACUCAGGCGACGGGGGAAGAGUAUAAGAGGACGCUCUUCCGCCCGUGCAGGGAUGGGUACUAACUCGCAGACCACGUUCGGGUGCGGACGAAGACGCCAGCUGGUGAGCUUACACACGACGGUGGAUGA